RNAcentral lists this long non-coding RNA (28246 nucleotides) under Ananas comosus (pineapple). RNAcentral's name for it is "long non-coding RNA (ACOM_LNC022942)". Lineage: Eukaryota; Viridiplantae; Streptophyta; Magnoliopsida; Poales; Bromeliaceae. The record is from RNAcentral.
AAGGUGUAUUUUAUUUAGGGGGUUAAAUGCAUGCAGGUCCUUGCAAACAUAGUCAAUUACGAAUAUAUCCCUGUAAAAUGAAAACUACAUAAGUUGUCCCUGCAAAAGUUCAACGUUAUGCAGAAUUGUCCCUACUGUUAGAGUCUGUUAGAGAAAGUUUGUUAACCACAGUUAAACUACUUAACCAUGAAUAGUUAAUAAAAUGAAUUGACUAUUUUGCCCCUCUUAUGUUAUAUUCUAUUAACUUAACUAACCACCAUAGUGGGCCCUUAACCCUAAUUGAUUGGAACUGCCAGGAGAGCCCUCAGGUGUUCCGCCCGCGCGAGGAGAGCGACAGCGAUGCAAGGAGUGCGCCCGCGAUCGAGGAGGUUUAGUGCUCGUCUUCCUCGGGCAACAACGAGGUUUAUUGCUCAUCUUCCUCUUCCCCUUCCUCUCACUCCCUUAUAUUAGCUUUAGAUCUACCAUUACUAGGGUUUUAUCCAUCAUAUUCAUCACCGAGGUGUAAUGCUCUUCUUUUUUCAAUGAGAGCAAGGUGAGUGCAUUACAUAGUAUAAAUUCAAAACUUGGUCUAUCUGAUUGUUAGUUUUUGAAACAAUUUCUUAUAUUUUAGGUUAAUUUUAAAAUAAUUUUGGUCUCAAGAAGUAGUACUAUAGUAUGUAUUUGGGAAAUAUGUAUUGCUUGAAUAAUCCAAGUUAGAUGUAUAUAGACAUAUUUUUAUAGAGCAUUCGAGUAUAAUACCUAGUCAUUUUGUAUUUUAUUUUGUUUAUAUAGUGAAAGUUUGAUACCAGAUAUGGAGGAGAAAGGUUUUUUUCAAGUGAAGUUCAAUUAUGCUGGGUAUUUUAAAACAGUAAAAACUGCAUGUGGAUUGAGAUAUUGUGAUGGUAAGAAGCAUUCGUUGAUGAUAGAUCUUGAUGGUUAUAAUCUGUUUGAAUUUUGUCGAGAUGUACGAUCACUAUGGGAUUGGAGUGUUACGGAGAAUAUUGGUGUAUGGUAUAUAGCAAGAAAUGUUAAGCCAAAGAAAUUCAUUCAAGUAAUCUCUGAGCAGGAGUUGAUGGCUAUGUUUUCUAUAUACAAUGACAUGAAAGAAGUAGAAAUUUUUAUAACCAUUCAGUCGCGAGGCAUUCCAUUAAACUAUAAUGGUGAGAAAACUCCGACACAAGAGGGCAACAUUUAUAUGAUUGUUGAUAAUAUUGUGGGUAUUGCUAGUGAAGGUGGUGAAGGUGAUGAUGAUGGUCAAGUUGCCGAAGAAACAGUUGGUGAAGGUGUUGGUGAAGGUGUUGGUAAAGGUGUUGAUGAAGGUAUUGGUGAAGGUGUUGGUGAAGAUAUUGGAGGAGCAAUUGGUGAAAAUGUUGGUCAAGUCGCUGAAGAAGUAGUUGGUGAAGAUAUUGGUGAAAAUAUUGGUGAAUCAUUUGGUGAAGAUGUUGGUCAAGUUGCUGAAGAACCAGCUGGUCAAUCAGAUGCAGUGUUAAGUGAAGAUAGCUAUCGUCUUCUUAAUACUGAUGACUCUGAUGUAGAGGAUAAUAUGGAUCCUGUUGAAACAUUUUCAUAUGAUGUGAAUAACCCUAUUAUGGAAGUAGGAGCAAAAUAUCCAAAUGUAUCUUCAUUUAGAGAUGCAUUGACUCAUUUUGCCCUACUAAAUGAGUUUGAGUAUAACCUAAAAAAAAGUGAUCUUUUGAGGGUAACUGCAACGUGCGCAAAAUCUAAUUGCAAGUGGCGAAUCCAUGCAUCUAGACUUCAAGAUUCCUUAGUCUUUCAGGUAAUACCAACAUUAUCCUAUUUUUACUUUUCAUUCUUUAAUGCACUUCAAGUAUCAUUCAUUUAUAAAUGAAAGUUGCUGAUAUGUCUAAUUAACAUUUACGUGAUAGGUGAAGACUUUACAAGGAGAGCACACAUGCACGUCGGCCAAUAGGUGUCGGAAUAAAGUGGCAACACAAUCGUGGGUGUGCAAUAGGGUUAUUGGGUGGCUACGGUUGGAAGGAGAUAUAUCUACAUCUGAACUGCGGAAGAGACUGCAACAAAAAUAUCACGUGGACUUGACCUACUCCAAGAUAUUUAGGGGAAAAGAAAUGGCAUUGUCUAAGAUUCAUGGGCAUUGGGAGUAUUCGUAUCAAAGAAUCUUUGAUUUUAAAGAGGAAAUUGUGAGAAGAAAUCCUGGCAGCCACGUGGAGGUAAAGCUGGAAGUGAUUAACGGAGAGUAUCAUUUUCAGCGAGUUUUUCUUGCAUUUGGUCCAUGCAUACAAGGAUUCCUCAAUGGAUGUAGACCUUACAUUGCAUUAGAUGGAUGCCAUCUCAAAGGAAAGCAUAGAGGAGUUUUGGUAUCGGCCACAAGUAUUGACGGAAACUCCUCAAUUUUUCCAGUAGCUUUUGGUGUUGUGGAGUCGGAGAACUCGAAUAGUUGGGAAUGGUUUCUUCAUGGGUUGAAGACAGCCAUAGGAGAUUUCGAAGGCCUUGUAUUCUCAUCAGAUAGACAAAAAGGCUUAGAUGAGGCCGUUCAAGUUGUAUAUCCAAGAGUUGAACAUAGAGAAUGCAUGCGCCAUCUUUAUGCCAAUUUCAAGAAAAAAUUUCGUGGGGACUGCUAUAGAGACUCACUGUGGGCUGCAGCAAGAGCAUAUACACCUAAUGUUUACGAAACUAGCAUCGCUAAGGUGUAUGAAGCAAAUCCGAUGGCAUUUGAAUACUUGCGGCAAAACCACAGUUAUUUGUGGAGUCGAAGUAAAUUCGGAACCAUUGCUAAGUGUGAUUACUUGACUAACAAUAUAUUUGAAUCAUUCAACGCAUGGCUAUCUAAUGAUAGGCAUAGACCACUGAUUGAUAUGCUUGAUACUAUCCGCCAAAAAAUAAUGGUUAAGAUGGAGGAUAGAAGAAAUAGAGCAAGAAAAUGGGAUUCAGAAAUUGUACCAACGGUUCUCAAAUAUGUAAACAAUAUAAGCAAGGUAAUACACUGAUUUAUACUCUCUAAUGCAGUACACUGAGUUUUUCUUUACCUUUAGGCUAUAGUUUAAUUACUUUGGCCUAUUUAUGCUAUCUAAUUUAUGCUAUCUAAUGCAGUUUACUUUACUGAUUUUUUUCUUUACCUUUAAGCUAAGUCUAAUGCAGUACACUGAUUUAUGCUAUCUAAUGCAGUUUACUUUACUGAUUUUUUUCUUUACCUUUAAGCUAAGUCUAAUGCAGUACACUGAUUUAUGCUAUCUAUCUUCACAAUUUUAGGGUUUGGGUCAAUAUGAGGUGUUAUGGAGUGAUGAAUUUUCAGCAGAAGUUAUUGGACCGCAAUCAAGGUUUGAGGUGAGACUACAUGAUAUGCAGUGUAGCUGCAGGUUAUGGCAAGUGAAAGGUGUGCCAUGCAUUCAUGCAAUGUCAGUAAUAGGUAAAUUAAAACAUGAAAAGUGGGAAAAUUAUGUGCACCCAUAUUUUACGGUGGCCAAAUAUAAGGAGGCCUAUGCUAGUUCUAUUGCACCAUUACCCAGUUGUGAUCAAUGGGUAAAAAUUGAUAUCGGUCUUCGUGUAUUACCUCCUAUUUUAAAAAGGCCAGCUGGGAGACCUCGAAACAAGCGAAUUAGAGCAUCGGAUGAGAUGGCAAUCAGGAAGAGACAUCGAUGCAAAAGAUGCAAUAAGUUAGGCCACCGUGCAAAAACAUGCAAGAACCCUGUCGAUGUGAAUCAACAGGCUGCUGCAGGACCAUCUGAAGCAGCAAAUCAACAGCCUGCUGCAGGACCAUCUCAAGCAGCGAAUCAACAGCCUGCUGCAGCAGGGAAUCAACAGCCUACAGGACCACCACAAGUAGGUAAUCAGCACUCUAGAGCACCAAUUCAAGCAGAGAAUCAGCAAGCAGGGGAUCCGCACUCUGAACCACCAUCUCAAACAAGUAUUAGUAGUGGCAAAAGGUAAUAUGGUGACUAACAAUGUUCACUUUCCUUCAAUUUAUUGUCUUUACUACCAAAUUAACUAUAUAAAAACUGCAGGCGUAGAGGAAAGAGGGUAGCAUCGAGAUCAAGAUACUUACAGUCUCAAGAUGGAAGUACUAUUUCUGAAAUUGAUGCACUUGGUAGUCUAGAAAAUUAAGAUUUGGUUUAGACAAACAUGCAAUGGCAGUGAAAGCCUUAUUUUGGUAGAUUUGAAUGGAUGUAGUGACAGUCUUAUGUUGGUAGAUUUGAAUGUAUGUAGUGAUAGCCUUAUUUUGGUAGUUACUUGAACUGGUGGGUACUUGAAGUGCAAUCAGCCUCUGAAUGGUUGUAUGCAAUAUUUUGAUUUGAAUUUGGUCUACUUGAUGCUUGAAAGAGUGGGUGCUUGAAAUGGAACUUGAUGCAAUAACAAUUUUUGUACUGGUUUGAAACUUGAAUAGCAGUUGUUUUGGUUUGAAUAGAUAAUACUUGAAAUGAAAUGAUUGCGACCCUUGGAUGAUUUGUAUGCAAAAUAAUGAUUUGAAUGGAUAUGAAACUUGAUGCAAGAGCUGUGGAUACUAUGUUUGUAUGGAAUAACAUUGAAUGUGGAUAUUAUGUUUGUAUGGAACAAUAUUGACUUCGGAUACUUUGUAGAACAGAUUUUUUUCAAAGCUUUCAUUACUCUACAAAAUGUAAGUAGAAAUAAAACUGUUUUGUCACUCACUAUCUAAUGCAUUACAACAAGUACAAGAAUUACUAUUUUAUCACUCACAUUUUAUUACAUUGCCAAGUUAAACAAGAUAUUAACCAAUACUAAUCCUACAAGCAGCUUAAGUAGAAAUAAAGUUUUCUUUUCUAACUUCUGAAUACGAUGCUCCACUGCUUCUUGAAAUGCUUGUACUUGGUAUUUCAAAUCAACAGUAUUGUGGUGUAAAUCAUCAAUCCAACCAAAGUAAUUACAGUGCUCAUUACUCUGUAAAGUAUAAAACUAAAAAUUAGUAAAUGAGUAAAAGUUAGGGUUAAAUACUGCAGAUAAUGCAAAAGAAAUUGUUUUACCCCCCAGUUUGGACAUCCAUAGAACCGACGACCUCUAGUGUGCGGUUGCUUUGAAACCCAUAUUCUACAAGUUUUAAAGCAAUCACACUUGGGGAUUUGGUUGCUCGAAGAAGAAUCCGCUGAUCUUUCACUCAUCAUAAAAAUUUACAGGAGAAAAAAAAGAUUAAAAAAUAAAAAUUGCUGGGAUCUAACUGAUCAAAAUAAGAGAAGAAUAAAAAUAGUGUAUGAAUAAAGGAGAAAAGAACAAAAAAAGAGAUGUAUGAAAUGUUGCAAUGGAGUGAUAAAUUUAUAGAGGAAGAAUAUGACCGUUAGGGUCAUUUUUGGGGAUUUUGGGGUCAUUUAUGUACAACUUUCUUAAUUAUUUGGGGUUUUGGAGGGAUAUAUUUGUGAGGGCAAAAUGGACAUUUCACUUAUAAAGAACAAAUAUGACCGUUUGUAUUUUUGCGAGGAUAUUUUUGCAAAUAUUUAUCAGUUAGGACUUUUGGAGGGAUAUAUUUGUGGGGGCAAAAUUGUCAUUUCACGUUUGUAUUUUUGCGAGGAUAUUUUUGCAAAUAUUUAUCAGUUAGGACUUUUGGAGGGAUAUAUUUGUGGGGGCAAAAUUGUCAUUUCACGAAUCCACUGUUAGAAAAUUAACAGCUUACUAACGGAUGUUAACUGUAGGGACAAUUCUGCAUAACUUUGAACUUUUGCAGGAACAACUUAUGGAGUUUCUAUUUUGCAGGGAUAUAUCCGCAAUUGACUAUGUUUGCAAGGACCUGUAUGCAUUUAACCCUUUAUUUGGGAAGUAAAACCUUAGCUGAUGAACUACUUUACGGAUAUUCAAAAUUUUAUUUAAAUUUAAAUUUUAACCGGAACAAAUUUAUUUAAUACUAAAUAAAUAUAAUUUUAAAUAUAGAUAUUAAAAAUAAAAAUUUAAUGAAUAUAAAUUUGAAUAUGAAUUUUGAUUGUAACUAAUCUGAAUGCGAAUUUAUUUUUAAUUAUGUAUAAUAUGUAUACAAAUUUAAUUUUAUAUUUGAAUUUGUAUUUUAAAAUUUUAAAUUUAAUGUAAUAUAUUUUGAAAUAUUAAAACAAAAAUUAAUUAUUUUAGAUUUUUAUCGAUUUCGGAUUUGGAUACGGAUUUUUAAAAGUCGUCGAGUUUGGAGUCGGAUUCUGAUUCGAAUUUUAAAAAAAAUCGCCCUUACUCCGAUCCAUUGACGUCUCUACGGCUCUUGCCAUUAAUAGGUAAUUAAAACUAAGAAUUAUUGCAUACAGCUUCCCAUAAAUAUAAUAAAUUACAAAUAUAUUUAUAUAAAAAUUAACUUUUUUAUAUUAUUUCUAUAAAGGUUUGAAAAUUUUUUGUUAGAAAAAUUUAAUUAAACAAAGAUAAAAUAUUUAACUUUGGUUAGUUAAUAAAAUAAAUUGAUAUUUUUUACCUCUCUUAUAUUAUUAUGCUCUCUUCUCUUAAUUAAAAUUCUAGUAAUUAGAAUUUUUUUCUCUUCCUCUUUCUUUUUUUUUUCUUCGUACUAAUUUCGAAUUUAUAAUUAAAACUUCGCUUUCACAACGCGUGUUGCUUUCCUCGUGUUGAACCCAUAUUGUUUUUUCAUUUAUUUAUUUAUUUAUUUAUUUAUUUUUGCUCAGUAGAUGAUCAUUAAAAAAUUUUUAGGAAAAAAUUUCAAUACGGUUGUAAUGUUUGAAAUUUUUGAAGGUACAUAUUUAUGAUGAUAAAAUUAAUAUUUUACUUAUUAUCUGAGAUUAAAAAAUAAAUAAUUUUUUAACGAUAAUAAAUCAGAGAAUUAAUGUGAAUAUUAAUUUGUCUUUUAUAAAAAUAUAAAGACAGCGGUGACAAAGGAGGACGAGACGACACAAUAUUGUACUAUUUGAACAUAUUUUUACAUCUGCCUCAACUAGAAACUAAAAUCAAAUCCCCAAAAAAAACAAAACAAAACAAAAUAAGAUAAAAUAAAAAACAGCGAUAAUAAGAAAUGUUGAGAUUGGGAUCCUCGAUCGUCUCCCCAACCUACUACUACUACUACUCCUCCUCCUCCGCGGCGGCGGCGUUCCCCUCUCCGGCGCCGUAGAAAUCGACCAAAUGCUUUAAGAUUUGAACCUGCGAUCGGAGCCGUUCGAUGUACCCCGCCGCCUCCUCCAGGAGCAGCUCCGCCUCCGCCUCCGCCUCCGCCGCGCCGCCGCCGCCGCCGCCGUGGGAUCGCAGGGACGAUGGGAUCAGCAGCUUCAGCGCCUCGAGCUUCUCCGCUACUCGCUUCAUCUCCUUCCUCCGGCCCGAUUGCUUCGGGGACCUCCGCCUCCUCCAUCCAUGUCCUCUUCUUCUACCUCCUCCUCGUCGUCGUUGUCGUAGGGUUUCGCGGAGGAUCGGGGACGAGAUCGACCUCGCGGAGGGGAAGCUCAUGGCGGUGGGGAAGUAGACGAGGAAACGGCGAAAAAAAAAAAAAAUUAUUAAAUGAAACUUCGAAAUGGGAGCGAGAGGAACUUAAAAAGGGCGCAGCAGGAGAGGAAGAUGGUUUCUUGGUAAAUUUUCAGAAUCUCAGGGGCAAAUAUUUACUGAAAAUAAAUAAAUAAAUAAAUAAAAACACUGAUUAGGAACGCAAGAAGCGCCUGCGUGUCCCGCGAAGAGAUCACGUGGGAGCACAAUAUGUUCACGUGCUUAAAUUCCCAAAUUACCCCUCCCUUAGCGGGUCAAAUUUUUAGGAUUUUUUUUUAAAUUUUUUUUUUUUUACAACCUUUUAAUUCUCUAUAUUAUUUUUUUUAUUAUUAUUACACUUUUUUUAGGAAGAAAUUUUAUUAGAAUAAUUCAGAAGGUGGACAAAAAAUAGAUUCAAUUUUGCAGCUCAAGUAUCGCAAAAAAUAUAGAAUAUAUCAGUUAUAUGACUGACGUGGCGCGGCGUCUUCAACCAAUAAAAUUAUAAUUUUUGAGUUCACUCGUUCCAUCGUGAUUAAUAGAAAAAUAAUUUUAUUAUACUUUUCUCUUUAAAAAAAAUGUGAUUGGCUUGUUACUGAUGAUGUAGUACAAGUAUGACACAAUAAGCUUUAUCUUCAGUAUCAUGAUUUAAGUAGUAUAUUUAUCUAUUUUUUUUGGUUUUUUGGUUUUUGUUUUCUGUCUUUUUUUUUUUCUUUAUUCUGAUUGUCUUACAUAUCUUUCCGAGACUGCGAGUCUCAACUCUUGUAGCUAAAUUCAUAUGCUAAAUAAUUAAAACGGAUAGCGUGCUAUUUUUUUCUAAAAAAAUAUUUAUUUUUAUAUACUAUUAAUGUGUUAUUAAUUUUAGAUAAAAAAACGUACAAAACUUAUUUUAGUUAUAGAUCAUUUUUAGUUGGUUGUUCAAUUUUUCAAAUUUUGAUUUUAUUGUUAAAAUAUUUUAGGCUUCAAUUGGGAUUGCAGGAAGAUUGCGUUACAUGCCGUAAGAAACGACAAUGAAAAAAUAAUUCUGUUUGUUUCCGUACGUAAUACUGCGUUCAGCAUAUUGUGGUUAGUUGGUUACGAUAUAUUUUCUACGGUCCAAUCGGAGAAUGCAAAAGCAUAUCCCUAUAUGCUUUUUCUUAACUCCAUUCUAUCUAAUAGCGUUAGAUCCACCUCAAUACCAAACUAAGCCUUAAUUUGUUUAUUUUGAAUUAGUCAACAUACCUUAAUUUUAAAAUUUCAACUAAUUACUUAGUUUAAUAAAUUUAUUGUUCGACAAAAUUGUAUGAGAUAUUCUAAUUAAACCUUUAAAGAUAAACAACAAGUUCAAAGUUUGAAGCAAGUGCCGUCGACUAAUUCAAAUCAAAAAGGAUUGUAUAGUAAAAUCAACAUUAUGAAAUAUUGAGUAACUAAAUCAGAAUAGUCCAUGGUUAAGAAAAAUUUUGUAUAUUUUAUCCUUAAUUUUAUGUGAUAUACGUAAGAGUGUUCAAACUAAUCAGCAACAUACAAGGACUAUUGUAAAAGACUAUAGCAAAUUAGUAGUAAUACUCUUUUAAAUUACAUCCAUUAUAUAUACAAGGCUCCUUUUUUUCUUUUCUUUACUUCUUUAAUUUGACGGCGCAUUUUGGAUUCAUAUUUGAAUACAUUGAAAAUGAAGGCUAACACAUAUUAGUAUACUUGAAACUCUGAGCCUAGUAACUUAGAGAGCUCAAAUAAGCUAGAAAGGAGUGUUAAUUAGCAUUUGCUUAGCUCGCUAUUAAUUGUAUUUAUUUUCAAUAACAGUAACUUUUAGCUAGGUAUUUAAUAAAUAUAAAUAUUUGUUAUUUACUACUGGAGAGAUUUAUGUUGCAUGUUAUUGUAUAACAAAGCUAAUUGUGUGACAAGUAAUUGAAAAAAAAAAAUGAUAUAUCAUAUAUAGGAACAAGUAGCUAUAGGGGUAGGAAAAUACAUGAUAAGAUAAAUUUGCAUAUGGUGGCACGUGUGGAGUGGCAUGUGAUCAAAACCACAAGGCACCAAUACAUGCAUGGGGACACUCUUUAAUUACAAAUUGGAUCCAAGUGCAUGGUGGUACUUGAGCCGUAGCACAUGUGAUCACACCCUUGUGUGGUCCUUUCCUCAUGUGGAGAUCUCAACCAAUGAUCAUGUUACACCCCAGGAUAUAUGAUGAUCUUCUUAUGUUGUGGCUAAUUUUGCGUGGUGAUCACAUGCAUUCCCCAUGCGCUUCAUUUGCUCGAUCUGCACCUUUUAUCUCUAAAAUAUAUAUUCUUAUGAUCAACAGUACUUAAAAAUAACUUGCAAUUGACUUGAGCGGAGAGGUGAAACUCAGGUUCCAUUAUUUUCGAUAUUUAUUUUGGUGUAAGUUAAANGAAAAAGAGAAAAAAGAAACCACAGGGGGACGAAUUGAUACAUUUUAAACCACAGGGGGGCAAAGUGAGAAACUACGAAACCACAGGGGGGGUUUUUGAAGUUUUUCAAUGUAACUCAAGUUAUAUACAUUAGACCUCUACUUCCCCCUCUAAAGUGCCGAACUCGACUUCCGCCACACUCAUCCUUCUUUAAAAAAUUUAAUAAAUAGUAAAAUCUAAACACUACUUCCUUUAUAACGGAUUAGAUUACCUUAUUUAUAAUAAAUUAGAAUUAUCUUUAAAUAGUAAUGAAAAUUCUAAUUAUUUAAUAUAUAGGUUAAAUUUUAUAGGAGUAAGUUUACCAUUAUAUCAGGAAAUAACGGGAUCCACUUACUUACAUCAAAAUAAACAGUAAAACUCAAAAAACUAAUUUUACCAACACCAAAUUACAUCAAAAUAAACAGAAGAAGUAAUUGAAUUUAACUUUCAAACUAUACGGAUUACGUCAAAUUAAACAAAUAAUAAAAAAAUAAUCACACUUUAAAAAAACUUAGAUACUAUUAUAUUUGAGUUACGUUAGAACUACAGAUUCAAUCCAAACGCCCGAUAGGGGGGGGGGGGGGGNUGCAUGCGGAGCACAAGGGAAUGUUCAAGUAAUGUUGUGCACAUUCUAAACACUCCACCCCUGUCACGUGUGACAGCGACCUCUCAUGCACUGAUGCAGUACUGCACCUGCAAGGAAGGUGCAUGGGAGAAAAAAAAAAAAAAAAAAUCAAUAAACAUUGCUACCACAAGGUGUUCUCUCAUCAAUGAUUGGUGAUGUGUUGGUUGUUCAUGAAUAUAUAAAAAUAUUUGUAUCAUCCCCAAUUUUUAAGCUCCCUUAGUUCUGUCACGUUGCGAGUUCAAAUGGAUUUAAUCUGCAUCUUUUGCACGUACGACUCUCACCUCACUUGUAUAUCUUCUAUCAGAUCUUUGUUUGUUUGAUAGUUAUUAAAUGGUUCGCUCGUUGUGAGAGAGUGCGUUAAUAUAACAUACCAAAAAAAUACUAUUCUCAUAUAAAUUAAGCUUUUAGAUGUAAAUGGUUGCUUUACAUCAUUUAACACUAAGAGUUACAAAUACAUACAUUUAGAUGUUUAAACAUCUCUUUUGGUACUUGGGACCCGUUUGAUCCACACUAUAUACCAUUAUUGGUUAUUUCAAUAUAAUCAAUUAUCUGAAAUUUCUGAAUCAGAUUACAAUUAAUACAGCAUCAUUGUGUUUAAUUUAGUACAAUAAUAGAAUGUUAAAUUACAAUAUAUACAUGAUUAUUAUAUUCGGUUUAUUUUAUUAAAUUUAGUAAUUCCGACAGUUUGGAUUACAGUGUAUAAAAAAGUAUGCGACUAAUAAUCAUUAUGGCUGGAUAUUAUCCUCAUGCAUGUACAUAUCAUGAAUGUAAAAAAUAAACUUGCCAUGGACUAAAAUUGACAUUUCAAUUAACCAUUUUGAGUUAAGUUUACUUUGUCAUUUGAAUUAGAGAUUUUGUCAAAUGUGACAGCUCUGCUUUCUCUUUAACAAGGAUCAUGCAUUCGAUCGACAGAUAAUAACUAAUAACUAAAGGCCAAUGAAGCCGUUAACUUGAAAAAAACUGGUUAUAAAACCUAAGAAAUAAUUCAAACUCAAAUAAAUAAAGCGACUACGAGAGUUGAGUUAGAAUACUAUUAAUAGUGGCAUAAGAUUUUCUUUUUUUCCCCUUUCUAAAGCAAGUGAAAAAUUUUUUAUGGCUUGAGCUUUGGAUAUGGGCCACUUAGGAGUAUGAAGAAUUGGCCUUAUCUAUGUAUUUUAAUAGAGUCCAUAAUGAAAUGCAUUACAUGGCCCAUUACGUGUGGUAAGCCUAGCAUUGUUGGACUUAUUUUAUAAAUACAGUGUACUUAAAAAUACAUAUAAUUAAAAAUGUAAUAAAUAUAAUUAUAUAUAUCUUAUUUGAUUGGGUGUUGAAAAAAAUGUUGCAGCUAUAAGUACUCACUUUAGUUGCAUGAGGUUGAAAAGUGUAUUUACGGUAUAUAAGUACUUUAUCAUUUUAUAUAUGGAGCGGCGAGCUUACCAUUUAUCAUGUAGGAAAGGAAAAAAUAAAAUUUAUUUAAAGAAUUAUUAAGAAGAUAAGUUUAUUUUUAUUUAAAAGUAUUCUCUUUGAGUGCUGCACUUGAGUCUCUUUGUGCAGCUGCAACUGUAGCAGUUAAAUUUAAAUACAUCAAAAAAAACUCCGAAUUUGAAUCUCCAUACAGUUAUGAUUGCAGUACAGUUACACUUAUGCGCAACUAAACAACCCCUUAAGAGAAACGUAGUAAUUUUUUUUUGGGAAAACUUCAAAAAAAAUCCCUGUGGUUUCGUAGUUUCUCACUUUGCGCCCAUGUGGUUUAAAAUGUGUUAAUUUGCCCCCAUGUGUUUUCGUUUUUAUUCUUUCGGUAGCUUUUUUGUUAAUAUUUCAUUAAAUUAUAUACAAAAAACUUCAGAUAUCCAUCUAGAUUUAUUAAAUAUUUACCUUAGUAUCCUUUAAUUUUAACUUUAUCACUGAUUUUAAAAAAAAUGAUGAAAUUGAUAAAAAAAAAGAGAAAAAAGAAAUCACAGGAGGGCAAAUUGAUACAUUUUAAACUACAGGGGGGAAAGUGAGAAACUACGAAACCACAGGGAGAGUUUUUGAAGUUUUCCCUUUUUUUUUUCAGGAAAGACAUAAAAAGAGCCCUUAAACUUUAGCACUUUUGUAAAUAAAUAUUCUAAAUUUUUAAUUUGAGCAAUUAAACUCUUUAACCUUUAUCAAAUAAUUUACUAUGUCCCACUCCUCAAUUGAAGUUACUAACUAUACUACCAUUUUGACCACAUGUCUUUCAAUUAUGAUAAUUAAGUAUGAGAAUUUUAAAAAGGGUAAAUCUAUCAUCAAUUUUUCUAUUUAUUCUUUAGGAUAUAUUUUAAAAAUUUACAAGAUUGUAUGCAUUUAAAUGCAACCAAAAGCUGUGAAAUCACCACAUUUGAUUGGAAAGAGGGGCAGGUUCAUCUAUUUGAUAUUUUGAUACAAGUUUUUAUGGGUGUGUAAUUGUCAAAAUUAAAAGUUGAAGGGUUUUUUUUACAAAUGAGCUAGAGAUUAAGAGAUCUUUGCACAUUCUUUUCUAUUUUUUUAUUCAUAUACUCUCAAGUUUUAAUUAAUAUUUAUUAGUAAAUAAAACUAGAUUAAUUAACUCCUAAUAGCUCAUUAAUGCAUGGAAUUCAAUAAAAGUAACAACUUAAAAUAUUUAAAAAUUUAAAUAAAAAAAUUUAGAAGUUAAAGGAGUGUUGACAAAAAAGAUCGAAGUUGAGGGGUCUGUUUUGUAACAUACUUUAGUUGAGGGGUCGGAAAAAUAGAAACCCACGUGGACCGUUGAUUUUGCUUCACGGUCCCAUCCCACCGUCCAUCUUUCCCCGGUGAUCAAGUAUUAAUGAUCCGAAAUGGACGGCUCUGAUCAUCACCGCACCAAACCCAUUAUAAACCUACCUAAUGCGACAAUGGAGAUAUAUAAUAAUUUAUAAUAAUCUCCAAAAAACCUUUUUUUUUUCCUCUCGCUCUCUCUCUCUCUCUCUCUCUCUCUUUUUAAUUACCAAAUCUCCCCAUUUCCCCUGUUCCCGUUCGCCAACGGUCAUCGGAUUCUUUCCGAUCCUCAUCGAGAUCGCGUGAUUCGAGCAUUUGGAUCGGAGAAUUUGGAUCUCCGCUAUGUGAUUUUGGUAUUUCCCCCUUUUUGUUACGAAUUUUAGGUUAUUUUUAAUGCCCGUUUUGGUUCAGAAUACUUAGUUCUAUUUCUUGGUGGAUCGAUCGAUCGAAUUUCGUCGUUUUUUUUUUUUUUUUUUUCUUAAUGUCGUAUUUCUUAGCGGAGAUUUGUUGUAUGAAAAUUAUAUAUUUGAUUUAGGGGAAAAGAAAAGAUAUCUUUGUGUGUUUUAAUCUUUUUAUCGUUUAUUGUGUAGAAAUUUUCAUCACGAGAGAUGGGCGUGGAUGUAAUAAUUGAAUUCGUUUUCUUUCUUCCAUCCAAACUCUGGUAUUGGUCUUCAUUAUUUGAUAAUUGGUUGUUUCUUUUCAUGAUCUGCCCUAGUUUUUCACUGUAGCUGUAGUUGAUCUAUUUAUGUGAUCCUAAGUAGCAUAUUGAGUUCUUCGAAAUGAUGUUCUUUCAUAUUGCAAUAUGAGAAAUGCAGUAAAAAGAAAAAAAUGCAGAAAAAUUAUCAUGAAAAAGUUAUACUUGAUGUCGGUUCAUAACAUGAUUCACGCCUACUUUUUAGCUGUAGCCAUAGUAGUCUAUUUGAUAGUAAGUCGCAUAUCAGAGUUCUUGAAGAUGGUGUUCUUUCAUUUUACUUUGUAGAGAGUUUUACUCGUAGUUACCAUGAUUGCAGACCCCCUCUGAACUGCAAUCCAGUUCGAACGUUCUGAGUUUUCUGACUCGUGGUGGGUUCUCGAUCCGGAUCACAGAAAGUGGCGAAUCGAGAAUUGUGAAGUACUUCAAUUUUCUAUAUAUAAUUUGUUAGGUAACCUACUUACCUUAAAUAAAUGUGUUUUACAAAGUAGAAUAAUACUAAAGAAUCAUGCCUGAGUGAAAACAGAAAGAGUUGGUUUUGAUUAGAGAGAAUACCUAAUCAAUCUUAAUGAAAAUAAAAAACUAUAAAAUAACAAAAGUAAGUUUUUGAUUUUUUUUUAAAUAUUUGUCUAUCUGUAUAGACGUUAUGAACGAACCAGUAACCACAUUUCAGAAUUUUGUUCCAAAUGAAUCACGUUUUGGAAUAACGUUCGAACUAAUCCUGCCCCUCUCGUAUCUUGUUCCUGAGAAACUAACGUACCACAUCUACAAAUAACAUUGGUUUUACUGCAUUUCUUGUUUAGCAUGUAGGACUGUGUAUGUUUCCGUUGUGAGCACAUUAGAGUGUAACUGUGAUUUCUAUUUCCUUUUAUCUGGUACAACUGUCAUGCUUAUCUUAUGCACGCAUUUAAAAUCCGUAUUCUUGUUUGAUAAAAUAUUCUUGUUAGAUAUCUGGUUAUUAUCUCUAUCUGUAUAAGAGAUGAUACUACUGUUCAACAUUAUCUUCACUUAAAGCAUAUGAUUCUGAUAUAAUACAUGCAGAUGUUCUUUAGAGUCACAAGCUAUAGUGCUAGCCUUACCCUAUGUUUUCAGUUCAACCUUGUUUUCUUAAAUUGACUCUUUGCAGCAAUAUUUGAUUGCUCAGUGUCCAUGUUGUAGUUGCUGGCAUCAAAGAAGAACAACUAAUACCAUGAUGCGACAUACAUGUACGGCUCAUUGAUUGUCUUUUGCGGGUUGGCCGAAGUGGACUUGGCCAAUCAUUGACAUUAUGUGAGGAUUUUUCUGGUAUAAUUGUCAGUAAAGAGUUCUUCGAACACUGUAGGCGCGAAUUUGAUACUCUGUAGGCAUCCUUUGCAGGAAAGGAGAUGAAAGAACUGUAGAGAAAGAAGAAGUAGAAGAGGAAAUAGGUGAGGGGGGGAAAAAAGAAAAAAAAAUGGAAGAAAAGAAGAGCCAUACAUUCCAGGGCAUGAAAAAAUAAUUUUCUUGUCCAAUACUUAGCACCAUGAGGUCCUUGACUUAAUUAUGUUUGACAUGUUGAACAGACUAGUUGAAACCUUAUUUUAAUAUGCCAUACAAGCCUUUUCAACUAAAGACUACGAAUCAAAAACCAAAAGGUGUACUCUCAAUUUGAAAAAUACAUUGUAUUUCAGUUGGUAUUUAGUUUGGGAAGAAUUCUCUACCAAUGUUUGUCUCUUAGAUUAGGUCUAUAUGGAAUCUCGAUGGUACUAGAAUCCAACUAGGGUUCAUUAAAGUAGGAAAACAGCUGUUAGUGGAGAUUUUAGUUAAAACUCAUUUAACUCAUUUCCUUGUGCUUUACUAAGUUGAAGUGUUAGAUAUUAUACUCUCAGUGAUAAUUUAUAAAUAAUAUUACCAUUCAUAUUUCAUUUUCUUAUUUGUGAGUAAUGCAUAAAAACUAUAUUCACAUCACAUCUUUAUGUCUUAUUAGUAAUAGAAAUGACUGUUCAUUACUAAUAAGUUAUGCCAUGUCAAACACAUCUCAGUUUGUCAAUUAUAAGAUUUAAUUUGAUGUUCAUAUAUCAUAACUUCAUAAUAAUAAUUUUCAUUUGUCCUUUAGUAAAUCCUCCUCUUUUUUUCUCUUUGUUAUUUAGCCAAUCGUAGUAAAAAAAAUUGUGCAAAAUGUUGAGAAUCUUUCAAGAAUAAAGAGUAAAAUUGACAUUUUGUUUCAUCAUUAAUGAGGUAUGCAUAAAGAGCAAAGCCUAUAUUCACAUUAUUUCAUUUAUAUUGCACUAAGAGACGGAUGACAAUUCAUGAUUGAUGAGUUAUGAAAUACCGUACUCAUAGUAAUUCUUCAUUGACAAGAAUUGAAUUUGAUAACGUGUUUCAUAAUUCAUAAAGUUGAGCCAACCAUGUUCCAUAUGAUAUCGAGCUAGACUAUUAGACCACAUUUUGACCCACUUUUAUCCCAUCCACAGCGCUGCUCGGGUUUUUCACUAGUUUAUCUUAUAGGAGACUCAUGUUUGUUUCUUUUAUUUUAUAGGAGACACAUGUUUGUUUAUUUUAUUUUAUGGGAGACUCAUGUUUGUUUAUUUGCUGUUUGAACUUCCAUUAGUAUCUUAACAUCUACUCUAAAGAUAUUUGCUGUAGUUUAAAUUAACCAUUUCUUACUCUUUAUCUAUAAGCGAAUCUUUCUAAUUGUUCCAUGGACAUAUCAUGACUGGAUCCCGUAAUUUUUAAUUUUAUGUUAAUAUUGUCUACUAUAUUAUUAUGUGAAUAAUUGACCUCAAGGCUGAGCUACUCUAAUACUGGAGUGGUAAUGAGGAUCUUUAAAGGAAACUGAAGAACUUCAAUAGUUGAAGUGCUUCUGAUAGGUGAAAUUGCCAAUCGUUAUACUCAAAUUUCGUAACUCUUAAAAACUGAAUCAACUUGAUGAAAAAGUUGAUGAGCUUCUAUUUGCAUGAUUUUAUUGGGGUGUCCUUGGCAUUGUCAUGGCGUCUUUUUGAUCCGCAAGCUACCUUCUUAGUCAAGAUAAGUGUGUGUGCUGUUCAUCACCGAUAAAUUUGUGAUGAUAUUUAGACACUUUUGGCCCUUCGAGUCUCUCCAAGAACAUCUUGCUUCUCUAUUAAGUUAAUUGCUGUCAUUAUUUACCCAAAAUCUGUCUGGCCUUCACGAUUGGAACAAUUAACAAUAUUGCUGCAUGUUUCUUUCCAAAUUGCAUCAUUAAAUGAGAUUAUUGAAUAAGAAAUAUACUCACACUUCAUGAUCUUCAAAUGUCUCGGGUAGUGCUAUUUAUGGCUCUGGUCACAAUGAUUUGCUUGUUGAAUCAACCGAUGACUAGACACAUGAAAUCUAGUAGUUGAAAAAUUGUUCGUUACAUAUUAAAUUGCUAACCUUUUAAUCAUUUUGACUUUCUGCAGGUGAAAAUCUAACUAGGGCAUGCUAUUUCCGCUCUUCUCAAGGCUACUUGGACCAUUUCAUUUUCACUUUCGACUUUUUCCGAGGCAAACCCAGUAUGUCCAACUGGUUAUACGGUGAAGUUCUUAAGGCUGUAUUUCCCCAUUUGGACGGUAAAGACCUUGUAUCGUGCAUGCUGGUCUGUCGUCAGUGGAGGGACAUUGCAAGAGAGGACUAUUUUUGGAAAUGUAUUUGUGCAAAAAGAUGGCCGUCGGUUUGCAGGAAACCCCCUCCUGCCCUAAGCUAUUUCAAUCUUUUUGCGACCUUCUCCAAGCCCCACCGCUGUCAAACCCUCCCCCCACCAAUGCUUUCCUUCGAUGACCUGGUCUUCUACAUUGACCUCUGGUUGGAAGAGAGAGUUAUAUUGUCUGAAGCAGUCGCAGGACCUGCGCUUCGAUUGGGCAUAAAGAACCCGCCGCACGGCAUACCGGAUGUCCUCAAGACCCACCUGGACGGCCCAGAUUGCAAGCUGCUGAUGCAGGUGGAGCCGAGGCUGACAGACGUUCUGGGACAGUCAGUUACCGUGUCAGUCCUCGUGGCCCGGAAAGACACCAAUAAGAUGGCCUGCAUUGUUAACAAAUCUCUUUUUGAUUAUGUCGAUAGUACUGCAGGGCGGGCACUGGCUUACGACUAUCUCACCUUCUCUCCCCGGUACCCGUUCAUAGCUGAUAUUCGGGCUUGGGUGUCCUUGCUCUUUUUGGCGAAAGGCAACAGUGUUAUCGAAGUGUUUGGAAUCGAAAUUGAUUUCUGUGAUGCUGCGCAGUCGGAGAUGGAGGUUUUGUGGCUCUUAGACAUGCUUGACUGGAAAUAAAAUGAGGGGAUUAUGAUGUUGUUGCUUGUAAAUAGGCAGGAAAUAAAUUCGAGUUAUCUGAAUUUUCUUGAGGUAAUCUCUGCUAUUUAUUGCUUUUAGUACGAAAUAUCUGUUCCUAUUUUCUGGUUUCUUCUGAAUAUUUUGAAAUGAUCUUGCUCCUUACUGCUUAGUGUGCAUGUUUUCAAAUUCACAAACCUAAGGCCUAUUGGGAUAUCUAAUGUUAACAGAAUCUGGAGUUAUUCCUCUGCAUUGACUCGGGACAAUUUUCGUUUUACCAUGUACUUAUUUUUAGUACUCAUCUUGUUCGAACUCUGAAUUUUUUUUGUAGGCAAAAAAUAUGGACAUCGAAUUAAACAAAAGGAUUCUCAAGCAAAAUAUUUGUGGACAUUGAUUUUACUAGAACUGUUUUAAACAUUAGAAUUAACUUUUGUUUUCUUCUUUUAUUUAGAAUAAUUGAUGGCUAUUGAUUUAAAUAAAGAGUGUCAAAUAAUUUGUGAAGUUCAGCAUUAUAUAUAGUCCUUAAGCUUGCUUGCCGACCAUGGAGAGAGCAACCCAGGCCGAGAAUCCGAACAAAAGUUGGGUGGGGACGGUCAUUGUGAGUCUGUCUGUUCCACCUACCGUUCAUCAUGUGAACUGAAUCUAAAAGAUCUAUGGAUGGCGGAUGGGGUGGUCUCACAAUGGGGACCGCAUCCACCAUUUUUAUUAAGGAUGAUGAUUUGGUAUUGGUAGGAUUCCAUAGGAAAGAGCAAAGCGCGCCAUUUCAAACCAUCAUCCUAUGACAGCUAACAGCUUUUUUGGGGCCAUGCUUUUGUUACUACAUAUGCAAUGCUUCUGCUUUUGGUUUGUGAUGCUCUGCUAGGUUUUGAAGAAACUAUUGCACGCACCUCAUGCACCGUGCCUCCUGUGCAGCGUCCAAUAAGACGCCGCCUAUCUCACAUAGUAUAAUAGGAUUGGUUCAGGGUAUCUCCUAUACGGUAUAGCUGUUACAAACAAAGAUCUUUUCUGAUGUAAGGGCAUAUCACUGGGCGGUGCACUGUGACUUGGUGCGCCGAAUGGAGGCCAUCAUGGUAAUAUUUAUCCUUGGUGUUUGUCAUUCCAAAACUGUUGCUAGAAAUCCUAGUGGUGCCCAUCCACAUCUUUAUAUAUUUAUUUAUUCAUUUGUUUAUUUAUUUAUUUGAAGAAGUUGCCACCAUUCCAAGUCCAUUGUCACCUAGCGAGCUCUUCUUGCUUUAUUCUGCUGUUUUUAGUAUCUUAGAAUUCCACUUCUUUGCAAACAUUAUGCAAUAAGUAAUUCCUUCUAACCAGGUUCAUUUGUUUCCAGUAGUGUUGUCUCAGAUGAAGCACUUAUUAAGUUACUAUUCUAAAGAGUAUUUACUUUUGUUUGUAUUGUUUCUUUUUUCAGCUUCUUUGAUUUUAAUGUGAAGCAGCUCGAAUAGUAACAAGUGUUCCCCCACACAAUUUGUUUUUGUUUUUUUUUUUCCUUCUUAUUUUAAUGUGCUUUUAAAAUAAGAAAGAAAACAGAAACUUUGAUACAUAGGAAACAAAGAGUUUAUUGGAGUUAUCUAAUGAAUCAUUUGUCCUGUUGUCUGUUGUCACCAUGGAAGUUACAUAGUUUAAGAUUUUGGAUUGCCUAGAACAACUCGCCCAUGCUCUAUAUGUGUUCUCUUUUUUUUUUGUGGGAUAACUUAUUCGGUUGCUGGAUUAAUUAUGCUUCUGAUUCGUGAUGGAGAAUAAUAAAUAAUUCUAUAUCUUGGCUAUAUCUGUCAUCAUUUAAUAUCUAUUUGGUCUCUUUCUUUUGCUUGUAGCAUAAAAUGUUGGCGGAGCUUCUGCUGCAGAGGAAAGUAAGAAAUGUAAUUCUAAACUCCGAAAGUAGAAGCACUGAAUUUGUCAUUUGAUUCUGCUGCAAAAAAGAAUUGAAGUGUUUUACUGUAAUGCUUCUUCUAAUUAAGAGCGCUAUUUUUCACUAGUCUUAAAUUAAAGGAAAAACCUCAAAUACCAUCCGUGUUUUCGUAAUUUCUUAUUUUAGUACGUUUAAAGUAUAUCAUUUUAGUACUCUGUGGUUUUAUUUUUUUAUUUUUAUUAUUUAUUUUACUAUUUUUUUUUGUUAAAUCAGUGAUAAAGUUAAAACUAAAGAGUAUUAAAGUGAAUAUUCGACGAACUUAAAUGGGGUAUCUGAAGUUUUUUGUAUAUAAUAAUUUAACGAAAUAUUAACGGAGGAGUUGAUGAAAAAAGAAAAAUGAAAUCACAUGGUACUAAUUUGAUACAUUUUAAACCACUGGCCGGUACUAAAGUGGGAAAGUGCGAAAUCACAGGAAUGAUAUUUAAAGUUUAUUCUAAAUUAAACAAUACUAUACCCUACAGCAGAAUAAAAUAAACUUUAACAGAUGUGCUUUUUCUUAGCAUAAUUUUGUUUCCAGAUGUUAUCCUGAAUGUCAGUUUGGUGCCUUAUUUGCUCAGUGUGAAAGCAGGUCAGAACAUUUGACAAGGGAGUCAAAAUUGGUUGAAUUUUGUCAAAAUUCUUACUUUGGUACAAACAAUCUUUCAAUGAUAUACAGCAAUCAAAUGUCUACAUCCCAUGUGCUGCUGCUGGAGAUGCUGCUUUUUUGGCACUACCAAUUAUUGCUUGUGAUGAUGAAAUGAUUUAGAUCCUUGUCGUUAGUAUAGAAGUUAUUUAUUCUUCCUUUUUUAAUUUUGUUGCUUAAUUAAAUCUCUCAUAAAAUGAUAAUUUUAUGCAUAAAAUUAAAAAAGUGGUCUAAAAAAUAGUAGGAUGACAAAUAUGGGCUUGAAAAAACGAAACUGAUUGGGCAACUUGUAUGUAAAAUUUUGUGGAUUCAGUUUCUUAAUUUCCACACUCACUUGUCUUUGUUUUCCUAACCCAAAUUUGUUUUGACAAAUUUACACACAUCUCUCUCUCUCUCUCUCUCUCUCUCUCUCUCUCUCUCUCUCUCUUGAGUUUGUAACAUUUAACCACGUAUAGGCUAGUUAUACAUUCUCGCAAGAUACAUAUAUUACAGCUUCUUAAUGCUAGAGUAUAUUUUAUACAUAUUAGAAAAUGCCAAGAAGUUAAAAAACUCAAAAACUACCAACAUUAACUUAAUGAUGAAUACCAUUACCAUUUAUUCCGUGCAGGGUCAUUUACUAAUUGGACCCAACGGCCAUACAUGGACCUGGAUGGUAUAUAUCACCAAUAUAUAUAUAUAUAUAUAUAUAUAUAUAGAGAGAGAGAGAGAGAGAGAGAGAGAGAGAGUUCGGUUGGUAUUUAUUUAAAAGUACGGAGUUCUCCGUGCUUUUAUGUUUUUUUCGAUGUCAGGACUUCUGAAUCAACGAUCGCUCUGUUAUUCUUGAUUUAAAAUAUUUGAUCGAAGUACUUCAAAAAUAAAUUUCGUGAUUUUUUGAUAUCAUUUGCCUAGUAAUCGAAGGGGCUUAAAAUUAAUGGCUGAAAAUAAAAAUCUCAUAAAUUGUGCUUAUAUGAAACUAAAAUUUUAGAUCAAAGAUACUAUAUAGUAUAAAGAAUUUUCCUCCAAAUUUUUUCAUGAUUUGAAUAUUUUUACACCGUUAAAUUUGCAAAUGGCUCAUCAUGAUAUUUAAAAUUAUUGAUUUUGAGCUUUUUUGAUCACUAGAUAAGUGAUAUUAAAAAUUCGUGAAAUUUAUUUUUGAGGUAUUUUAAAUAUUUUAGACCGAAUCUAAUGAAACUGAUUGUGGAUUCAAAAAUUUCACGGAGGAUCCCAUACUUCUAAAUAUAUAAUGCUUAAUUAACUCUCUCUCUCUCUCUCUCUCUAUAUAUAUAUAUUUAUAUAUAUAUACAAAUGUUAGGCCCUGUGAGUCACGUGAGAAUCAAAUAUAGUGUAAGUGGAAGCAAAAAUAAAGCAAAUGUAGGGCUUGGAUAUGGUGGUGGUGGUGUGGUGGGGAGAGGUGGUGUGGACUUUUGGACUAGUAUUACAAUACAAGCUUUAAACUUUUUAUGGGAGAAUAUAUAUGGAAUUAAAACUCUACUUGUAUAUGGAAAAUGUAAAUAACCUCCUCAACUAUAGCCUUUGAAAUAUAUAACUUCCUCCGCACAGUAGUUUUUUUUAUCAAAUUUAAUGGCUCGUUUAGUUAUUAACUAUUAAAGGAUGUAAAAUUUAUUUGCUAAACUGCAACUAAAAUCAUGAGAAAUAAUCUCCAAAUUUUUUGAAUCUAUUUACUUAAUUUUUUUUUAAGAAAAAAAUCAGAAGUGGAUGGACAAAAUAUCAAUAUAUAAAAAAAGUUGGGGGUCACUGUUCACCAUUCCCUUCACACUUGGACACUUCUUCAGCUCUCUCUCUCUCUCUACACUUUUCUCUCUCUCUCUCUCUCUCUCUCUCUCUCUCUCUCUCUCUCUCUCUAUAUAUAUAUAUAUAUACAUACAUAAUUUUACGUAUAUAAAUACCAACAUUGUGAGGAUGAUUAUUGAGCAAGCCUAGCUAACUCAAACUUCUUUUUUUGUUGUUCUUCUCCUUCUCCUUCUUGUUGUUUUAAGAGAUAAAGAGAGGGUUCAAAUUAAGAUGUUCAUUAUUAUGAGGAGCACCUUAUUUGUCAUAUUAUUAUUGUUGCUUGUGUUUGAGAUGCAAAAGUGUUCAUCAUUACCAGAGAAAUACGACACAGGAUUAAGUAGGAGGAGUUUCCCACCUGGAUUUGUCUUUGGAAUAGCUUCUUCAUCAUACCAGGUUAGUGGUUUUUUUUUAAAAAAAAUAAUUUAUGAACUGGUUAUUGUUCUUGGGAUUAUUUAUUUAUUUAUUUACUUAUUUGAACAUGUAUAUAUCUUGGUUCUUCAAGAUUAAUUAUAUGGAUUUUUUUGGGUUUUUUUUUUUUUUUGUUUUACCCUCUCAAUUAAUCCACUAUACGUGAAGUAUAUGAAAGAUAUAUAUCUAUUAUUUUUGGUAAGGAAAAAUUGUUUUUUUUUAAAAAAAGAGAUCAUUUCAUGCAUGUUUUUUUUAAUGUUUUCUUAAUUAAAUCGUUUAAAAUACGAUGGACAUAAUGUAUUUAAUUUCCACCUUUUCUUGGAAAAAAAAAAAGCCAAAAAAAGAGUCGAGGAGAGGAAAAAAAGAGAGAUUUGUGUGCAUUUAAUAGAGAGACAGAGAGAGGAAAAUUUAAAACCAAAAUUUAUCACCAAAUAUUGUAAAGAAUUAUUAUUUAUUAUUUAUUUCUUUUUUCUUUUCAUGUGAAAUUUAUCGAAUAAAUGAAAAAAAAAAGAUAAGAAAAAGUUCACGUGCAUUGUUUUAAGCGGAGGAGGAGGAUUCCGAUAAUUGAGCGCUUAGUUGAGACCCAUUCACACGCAAAAAACGGUUGUUGUAGCAACGGCUCGUUAAUGGGGGCCCACUACGAGGAUUGUCAAUGAAAUAUGUGAUGAUUGUGGGCUUUUAUGAAAAAUGGCCCAGUUUAUAUUUGACUAGCCAAAAAAAAAGAAAAAAAAAGAAAAAAUAAAAAAUAAAAAAAGAGUAUGUUAUGGAAAGAGUUUAAAUAGGUUUUCGAGUAUAAAAAUAAAAAAUCUAAUUUAGAAUCGCUGCUUUUACUAUAGCAAAUAUGCAGCUCUACUCAAUUAGUACUUCAAAAACUUUUAAGUGUUGAAAAUUUAUUUUUGAAAGAAACAUUUCAUCUUUCAUCUUAUAAUCUCCAAAGUAUUUCGUAUUUAACACUCCCAAGUUUGUGUGGAUUCGGAGCGCCUUUUUUUUUUUUAACAAGGUUGCGAUUUGAAAUUAAGUUAAAUAGGGAGAAAUUGAAUGAAAUUGAAAAUCUGUAAACACUUGAACUCAGAAUCUCCUCAUCUGGUGUUGAUAAUGUGAGAGCAAUCUUUUUCUAUCAGUGUAAGCUUUUUGGAAAAACAAAAAUUGGCUCUUCUAAUAAUUAUUGUGUGUAUCUCUCCAUUGUUUAUAAUAUAGUAAUAAUAUUAUUAAUUUCAUACAUGCAUCUCAGUAUGAGGGAGCUGUGAAAGUGGCUGGGAGAGGACAAACAAUUUGGGACACAUUUGCUCAUUCAUUUGGUAACACUUAUUUUGUGAAACAACUAUUGUACUGUAAAAACUUAAAAUGUUAGAGAACAGUGUUUAACUAUUUUUAUAUUUAACACUCCCCUUCAAGUCUGGGCUCGAGAUUUUUUAGUCGAUCCAUGACGUGGGUUUGAAUUAAAUGGGAGGAAAUUAAUAUGCUAGGAGUCUGGCAUGACUCGAACUCAGGACCUCACGCUCUGAUACUAUGUGAAACAACCGUUGUACUCUAGAAGCAAAAGCUUUUAGAUUUUAGAGUACAACGGUUGUUUCACAUAUUUCAUAUUAAUUUGUUGCACUGUAACCAAAAAACUAAAAUAAAGAUGAAAUUGAAAAAUUAACUAAAUUACAGUAGUUUGUUUUAUCACAGCUUCAAAAGAAAAUUAGAAAAAAAAAAAAAAAAAACCAUUUUCAAAUUUGCAGGUAAGGUGAUCGAUUUCAGCAACGCCGAUGUCGCGGUUGAUCAGUACCACCGUUUCGCGGUGAAUUUCUUUACGAUUUAUCACGAAUAAUUAACUUAAUUUUUUUAAAAAAUUAACACUGUUAUGAUUUAAUAAUUAUGGAAUCAUAUAUGGUUUUGUUUCAGGAAGAUGUACAGCUUAUGUCAGAUAUGGGAAUGGAUGCAUACAGAUUCUCAAUUGCAUGGUCUCGAAUUUUUCCGAGUAUGUAUAUGUCCACUUACUCAGCUAAAAAUAUAGUUUUAUUUAUCGUUACAAAUUAUUUAAAAUUAGUUGAUAGAUUUGUAAAAUUUUCAUAUUUAGAUGGAACUGGUGAAAUCGAUCGGCGCGGGAUCGAUCACUACAACAGAUUGAUCGAUGCAUUGCUAGCAAAAGGUAAGCAGGAAAAUUUUGAACCAUUUUUAUUUUUGUGACAACAUUAAUGCAAUGAAUUGAUUGAUGCUUUUACUGCUAAUUUAUUUGCGUAUGUGAAAAUGUACAGGAAUUGAACCAUAUGUGACCCUUUAUCAUUGGGACCUUCCUCAAGCAUUGGAAGAUAAAUACAACGGUUGGCUCGAUCGGCAGAUCAUGUGAGACUUUUCUUCUUUUUUCGUUUUCUUGAUCUGCAGCAAAUCACCUGUUCGCAAUUCUCGAAAAAGAGAGAGAGAUACGGUUGUCGGAUCGUUGGCGCUAAUCAUUAAUCUCAGAAGCUCGAACUGUUAGAAAUACGCAACCAAUUUACUUAAAAUGUACAGACACAGUGCCUACGGAUCUCAAUUGCGACUCGACCCAACUAUCCUCUCACCACUUCAAAUAUGAUUCAGCCCAGCCUGACCUCCUGCCACAGAGCAGAAUGUUGGCUCCUUUUAAGCCAAGAACUGUGACGCCCCACUUCUCAUGGGGAGUCACCUAUCCUAAAAUCAUUUUAGUUCUAGCACACUUAAUCCCCUUUUAACCUUUUGGACGUAACUAACUGCCGUCCAAAAUAUUAUAGCCGGGUUAAGAGAUUUAGUCCUAUUAUAUCUUAUAUAUCGAAUUUUAAAUCCUAGAGGCGUCACAGAUACGUUUCAUUGAUAUCAUUUGCAGAAAAGACUACGCAAACUACGCAGAGACAUGCUUCAAGGUGUUUGGAGACAGGGUGAAGCACUGGAUAACAUUCAAUGAGCCCCACACAUUCGCGAUUCAAGGCUACGACGUCGGGCUCCAGGCGCCCGGGCGCUGCUCCAUUCUCCUCCAUCUCUUCUGCCGAGCUGGAAAUUCGGCCACUGAGCCGUAUAUCGUUGCCCACAACGUCCUGCUGUCGCAUGCUGCUGUCGCAGACAUAUACAGAAGAAGCUACAAAGUAUGUGCGCAAAUUAUACUCGAUUUUUUCUGAGGAUGCAUAUGCUAUGCUGUUUAUCUCAUACAUUCAUCUGACUUUACACUUUGAUUUAUAACGCAGUCGACGCAGCACGGAUCGGUCGGAAUAGCAUUAGAUGUUAUGUGGUUCGAACCGAUGACGAAUAGUUCUGAAGAUAUUGCUGCAACACAAAGAGCACAGGAUUUCCAAUUUGGAUGGUACAAUCACCAAUUUGCCUACAUCAUUACAUAAAUGAAAAGCAAUGUAUCGAUCAAUCUGAUACAUUGAUCUUUGAAUCUGACAGGUUCAUGGAUCCCUUAUUCUUUGGGGACUAUCCAAUUUCAAUGAGAACAAGGGUUAAAAACAGAUUGCCAAGAUUUACAAGUGAUGAGGCUGCUCUAAUCAAGGGGUCCUUAGAUUUUGUGGGAAUCAAUCACUAUACAACAUAUUAUGCGCAGAAAAGUUCUACCGAUAUAAUCGGCCGGUUACUCAAUGAUACCCUGGCGGAUUCAGGCGCCGCUACUCUACGUAAGUUCAUUGUACAUUCGCAUGAACAACUUGCUUUUGUUUGUGUAGGUUAACACAAGAAACAAUUGCUUCUCUUUUUAAAAGAUUACAGGCCACCUGUAACAGGAAUGAGAAUCAAUCAUUUUACACCUGGUGGAAAUGGAAGGACAUGUUUCACAUUCAAUGACAUCUAAAAUUGUUUUUUUUCUUUCAUUUGUUUGCAGUUUUACAGUCAACCUAACAACAUAUUUUCUAACUUUGCAGCCUUCAAGGAUCUGCGACCAAUCGGAGAUAGGGUAAGACAUAAUGCGAAAAAUAAAUAGAGCUGUAAAGUUGCUUCGAAUGGAACAUAUGAGGCCUCUCUCACUAAAAUACCAUCUUUUUUCUGAAUUCUACCUGAUCUUCAGAAGGUGGAAGAUGCUAAAUAAGUGAAACUACAGAACAUUUGAUUGUGAACUUGGAAAUAGAAAAGUACAUGGUCCUUUUUCCAGCUAGGAACUGACAAUUACUUUCAUUUGUUUCAUGCAAUUGAUGGACAAUAGUUUUGAAUGAAAUUUGAGGCCUAGAUUUUUGUCUGAAAACAGGCUAAUUCAAUAUAGCUAUAUAUCGUACCUCGAGGAAUGAGAAGCCUGAUGAACUACAUCAAGCAGAAGUACAGCAAUCCACCAGUUUUCAUCACAGAAAAUGGCUAGUAUAUUUCUCACAAAAGUUAGCUACAGAUUCACAACAUUUGCUUAAUUUAGGUUAAAUUUUAAGUUUGUUGCUCAUUUGCAGGGAUGGAUGAUCCAAAUAGUCCCUCCAUUUCCAUCAAGGAUGCUCUGAAGGAUGAUAAAAGAAUCAACUAUCACAAUGAUUACCUCGCAAACUUGUCGGCCGCCAUCAGGUAAUUUCAUGAUCAUGGAUUGAUUACAUGUAUGACUCUGUACAACAAAUUUACCCAGAAACAUGGAAAGAUGCAUUAAAUUGUAUUUAUUCACUAUUUUGAGAGAAAACAAUGAAAGGUGGAUAUAUACCCAAAUGUGCUGAUAAUUUUGGGGUUCGAGUUCGAGGUUAAUCAAAAUUUUGGAUAGUUUUCAAUGAAAAAGAACACAUGAUCUCUCUAUUUGGUUUUGUUAUCAUGGCAAAAUAUUUAUUGUAUCUGCAGCAUGAUACCUUCUCUAUGCUUACUAAUUUAACAUUAGAAACUUCAGAUUCAAUAUCCAUGCAAACCAAAUAAUGGUAACAAGAAUUAACUUAAAAAAGGACAUGAACACUUACAAUCUCUUCUUUCUAUCUUCUUUUUCUUCUUUUCCGAAUGCAGGGAGGACGGUUGUGAUGUGCGCGGUUACUUCGCGUGGUCUCUUCUGGACAACUGGGAAUGGGCCGCUGGUUACACUUCAAGGUUCGGGCUAUAUUUCGUCGACUACAACAACAAUCUGACGAGAUACCCUAAGAACUCAGUCCAUUGGUUCAGGAACCUACUGAGCUCUUCCUAAUUGUAGUCCUAGGACUUGCAUGCAGCUUCCAUAUCUCUUAUGUUAUUGUAGCCCAAAUUACCUGGAUUGUAGUUAAUUGUUCUUGGAUUUGAUUUGAGAAAUUUUCCUAAGAAACACUUGUAAUUGAGUCCUUUACACUACAAAAAAAAACAUUGGAUUGGUACAGUUAAUUUGUUCAGAUACAGAAUCUAUCAAUAGUUUGGGCUAAGUAGGGCUAGCUAUGAACUUGCAAUGUAGCAACAUAUACCAAUGUUAAAGGGGGUGUUUGCUUUUCAGGAAAAAAUCCCAGAAAUUAGUUUUCUGACUAAAAAAGUUUUUUUUUUUGUUUGUUUGGUCCUUUUUUUCCCAAAUUUCAUGGAAAACUUUCUUUUUGUUAACCUAUUCUUUUUAUCCGCAAACAUGUUUUCCAUGGAAAAUUUUUUUCUCGGAAAACAAAUUUCCCCGAUUUUCCGAGGAACCAAACAACCCCUGAAGGAAAGUUCUGAAAUGAAAGAUAACUUAUACAGCUUAGCUCUACUUAUUUUGUU